AGUGAACGCUGGCGGCAGGCCUAACACAUGCAAGUCGAGCGGCAGCGCGGGGGCAACCCUGGCGGCGAGCGGCGGACGGGUGAGGAAUUCGUCGGAAUCUGCCUUUUUGUGGGGGAUAACGUAGGGAAACUUACGCUAAUACCGCAUACGUCCUACGGGAGAAAGUGGGGGACCGCAAGGCCUCACGCAGAAAGAUGAGCCGACGACCGAUUAGCUAGUUGGUGGGGUAAAGGCCCACCAAGGCGACGAUCGGUGGCUGGUCUGAGAGGAUGAUCAGCCACACUGGGACUGAGACACGGCCCAGACUCCUACGGGAGGCAGCAGUGGGGAAUAUUGGACAAUGGGCGCAAGCCUGAUCCAGCCAUGCCGCGUGUGUGAAGAAGGCCUUCGGGUUGUAAAGCACUUUUGUCCGGAAAGAAAUCCCUGGAGCUAAUACCUUCGGGGGAUGACGGUACCGGAAGAAUAAGCACCGGCUAACUUCGUG
This 484-nucleotide ribosomal RNA is filed under the name uncultured bacterium. RNAcentral describes it as "partial 16S ribosomal RNA". It matches the Rfam family "Bacterial small subunit ribosomal RNA", at positions 29 to 507 of the family's 1533-position model. The record is from RNAcentral.